GACAUUGUGUAUGAUUACAUAGGCCUAUUUAUCACAAAUGCAAUGUGUAAGAAACAUUAGACUACUAAUUAUAAAUGCACAAUAGAAAAGAAAAACAUGUCAAUCAUACUUCAGUUAAAUAUACAUAUCGAAGGCGAAAACAUCUUGUUUUUAUUCCGUCCAAAGAUUUGUGAGCAUAUAUUUCGAACGAUCAUCAAACGAUGUUGCUUUUUUAGGUUCUAACCGGUCAAUAGAAAUACGUAGCCUACUGUAGAUAUUCUUAUUUGGAUAUGCGGACCCCUUAAAGCACCAUCAUGCACCCCUUAGGGGUUCAUGGACCCCAGGUUAAGAACCCCUGUUCUAGAUAUAGUCAGUGUUCUUACUUUUCCAGCUGCCAGUUGCAAAGUGUGACAAUGCUGUUUUGGUACAGCUUCCAGAAGCAACAACUGUUCUUCCACGAGAAAAAUUCCUAAACCAAAACCACUGACAAAAUGGCAAGAAUUUGCAAAAAAAAAGGGAAUUCGAAAACAGAAACGCGGAAAGAUGCUUUGGGAUAAGACCACCAAAGCAAGAUGAUUGUGUGUGUUGUAUUUCUGUAAAAGGAUUUUUGUUUAUGUGCUCUCGUAAUGUGGCGUUUGUUUCAAUGUGUAAAUAUUUCGGUUCUUCUAUGUAAAUAUUUCGCUGCUCAGUUAAUGUAAAAAGACUACAUUCUUAAGGCAUGAGUAAUGAUUUUUACAAACAUUUACGUUAGAGCGUGGGUCGCGUUCAUUAAUUAUUCAAAAAGUAACAAUUUCAUUGACUGCUGGAAAUAAAGCAUUGUAUACUAUUAUAUCCAUUCGCGUUCAACUGGUUCG
Xenia sp. Carnegie-2017 is the source of this 833-nucleotide long non-coding RNA. RefSeq lists it as uncharacterized. The transcript is spliced from 4 exons. The record is from RefSeq and is a predicted model, not a curated record. NCBI's taxonomy places the organism in Eukaryota, Metazoa, Cnidaria, Anthozoa, Malacalcyonacea, Xeniidae.